This 1115-nucleotide long non-coding RNA is filed under the name Populus trichocarpa (black cottonwood). RNAcentral's name for it is "long non-coding RNA (PTRI_LNC002187)". The record is from RNAcentral. Lineage: Eukaryota; Viridiplantae; Streptophyta; Magnoliopsida; Malpighiales; Salicaceae.
UAGAACUGGAGUGCAUUUUAAUCUCUUACUCUUUGUUUAUUUUUCAAGCUUUUAGAUACUUCCUGGUGAUCUGACCUGUCUGAAGCAGCGGCUAUUGCAGGACUGGACUGUUAGUUGGGUCCAUUCCUGACCUCCCACUUUUUUCAUGCUUUUAAUGCUUAACUGUUUCUAAACAUCACUUGCUGUAUUCUUGUUGCCAGCCUUCUUGUAGAACAAAUGAAAAAAAAAAAAAAUCAUAAUUGUGAUGAAAUUUUCAGGGGAAUGGCAGUGGAGGAUCCUUCGAUGCCUUGUGGAGUGAGGCUUGUGAUAGAAGACUACCCUUAUGCUUCAGACGGACUCCUCAUUUGGUCAGCCAUAAAAGAAUAUGUAGAAUCUUAUGUUGAUCACUUCUACUCUGAGCCUAACUCUGUCACAUCUGAUAUUGAGCUCCAAGCCUGGUGGAAUGAGAUAAAAAACAAGGGUCAUUUUGACAAGAGGAGCGAACCAUGGUGGCCUAAACUCGAUACCAAAGAAGAUGUAUCUGGCAUACUUACUACAAUGAUCUGGAUUGCAUCAGGGCAGCAUGCUGCUAUAAACUUUGGGCAGUACCCCUUUGGAGGGUAUGUGCCUAGUCGUCCUACCCUCAUGAGAAAACUCAUCCCGCUAGAAAAUGAACAUGAUCAUGAAAAGUUCAUCCGAAACCCUCAGCAUACUUUCCUGUCAUCUUUGCCAACUCAACUUCAAGCCACCAAAAUAAUGGCUGCUCAGGACACUCUGUCGACUCACUCCCCAGAUGAAGAGUACUUGGGUCAGGUAAGCCACCUGCACAGCCAUUGGAUCAAUGAUCACGAAAUAGUAGAAUUGUUCAAUAGAUUUUCUGCUCGAUUAGAGGAGAUUGAAGGAAUAAUAAACUUGAGAAAUAAGGAUGCCCGCCUUAAAAACAGAAGCGGUGCAGGUGUUCCACCAUAUGAACUGCUCGUUCCCACUUCAGGCCCUGGAGUAACAGGUCGAGGAAUCCCCAAUAGCAUUUCUAUCUAAAAGGUUAGCCUGGUUUAAAAUCAUUGUAAGUGUCAGAUAUUGCUGCCUUUGCCUAGCAUAUACCACUUUCUUUCUCAAAGAGCUUGUUCACCUAGCAU